CCUACGGGUGGCAGCAGUGGGGAAUAUUGGGCAAUGGGCGCAAGCCUGACCCAGCAACGCCGCGUGAAGGAAGAAGGCCCUCGGGUUGUAAACUUCUUUUGUCAGGGACGAAGAAAGUGACGGUACCUGAGGAAUAAGCCACGGCUAACUACGUGCCAGCAGCCGCGGUAAUACGUAGGUGGCAAGCGUUAUCCGGAUUUACUGGGUGUAAAGGGCGUGUAGGCGGGACUGCAAGUCAGAUGUGAAAACCAUGGGCUCAACCUGUGGCCUGCAUUUGAAACUGUAGUUCUGGAGUACUGGAUAGGCAGACGGAAGUCCGGGUGUAGCGGUGAAAUGCGUAGAUAUUAGGAGGAACACCAGUGGCGAAGGCGGUCUGCUGGACAGCAACUGACGCUGAGGCGCGAAAGCGUGGGGAGCAAACAGGAUUAGAUACCCCGGUAGUC
This 443-nucleotide ribosomal RNA is filed under the name uncultured bacterium. RNAcentral describes it as "partial 16S ribosomal RNA". It matches the Rfam family "Bacterial small subunit ribosomal RNA", at positions 338 to 795 of the family's 1533-position model. The record is from RNAcentral.